This is a long non-coding RNA of Perognathus longimembris pacificus (Pacific pocket mouse), 115 nucleotides long. RefSeq lists it as uncharacterized. The transcript is spliced from 3 exons. Lineage: Eukaryota; Metazoa; Chordata; Mammalia; Rodentia; Heteromyidae. The record is from RefSeq and is a predicted model, not a curated record.
UUAGGGGUGUGUCUGUGUAAGGCCAACACGAUAACUCAUUGAAAGACAGCAAGUGCAAGCAGUGAGGAGGAAGACAAAGCCUGGCACAGAGCAGCAGGACAUAAAAUGAUAGUCC